RNAcentral lists this ribosomal RNA (256 nucleotides) under uncultured bacterium. RNAcentral's name for it is "partial small subunit ribosomal RNA". It matches the Rfam family "Bacterial small subunit ribosomal RNA", at positions 26 to 286 of the family's 1533-position model. The record is from RNAcentral.
AGAAUCAACGCUGGCGGCGUGCCUAACACAUGCAAGUCGAGCGGAAAGGCCCUUCGGGGUACUCGAGCGGCGAACGGGUGAGGUAACACGUGAGCAACCUGCCCCUGGCUCUGGGAUAGCCUCCGGAAACGGGGAUUAAUACCGGACAUGACCCUUGACCGCAUGGUUGGGGGUGGAAAGUUUUUCGGCCAGGGUGGGGCUCGCGGCCUAUCAGCUUGUUGGGGGGGUGACGGCCCACCAAGGCGACGACGGGUAG